AGAAUGUAAAAUAUUUCCCGGACAGAAACAGCCCGGCUUUUUACAUAGUAGAAUUAGUGGCCCACUGCUUUAAAGCUUUCACUGACAAAGCAAAGACUGCAUUAAAUAUGAAGUUUGUGUUCACACAGAACUCUACGCUCUCACUGUUGGCUAGGCAUGCAAGUAGUUGUAUUUGUUUCGCACAUUUAAGCAGCUGAUUAAAAGAACAAAACAGGGAAAGGUCAGUUGCUGUAAGUGCCCUGGUACGGUGGAAUAGGGGGAGUAAGAGGGGAGACCUAUGGCCUGACAGAAGGAGGUUGUUCAAAGGCUAUGAGGAAGAAUGGUCCAUAAAAGUUAUUUGCCUAAAAUGAGGAUAGUAAUUCUCCAUUCCUGGAGGAAAAGCUGUUGGAGUUGUAUUGAUUUGGGAUGCUGAUGUGGAUGGUGAUUCAGGUUGGGAGAUUCUGCAAGUGCUUUGAAGAAUCUUCUGGAUGAGCCAGUUUCUCCAGUGACUGCAAAGAAGGCCUCAGGAUUUUGCCUCCCUCCACUGAGGUAGUACAAGCAGUGAGCCACGAAUUUGCUGACUUUUCACGUACACAAGGAGCCAAGAUCCGGGAACUGCAGCAUCUGGCCUGCCAGCAGAGAGCAGGGAAAAAAUCACAUGUGAUCAAGACUUCCUCUGAGAACUGGAAGCUAAGGCCUUCAUCACAUGAAGUGGUUUGUGAAAAGGACAAUUGCUUGGAAAUGAUCAAAUUUUAUUUUGAUGAGGACAGCAAUCAUGUGGACAAAUGCAAGAUGGCUGGUGAGAAUGGAGACAAGUGAAGUGGAAACUCCCAAAGCUCAAACAGAACAACUUUUCUCAAGCAAGUAUGCAUACAGCAGUAAGGAGCAGUGCAGAUCCAGAAGGCUCUGUGGACUACAGCUCAGGACCGCCUGGGGGUCCCACGAUCCUGGCUUACUACAUCUGCUGGUGUGGGAGCUGCCCCAUGCCGUGGAACAAGGAGAUUCACGCAUCCCUUCCCAUAAGGGUGCAGUGGGCUCUGCGCCGCAGCGAUUCUUCCAGCCCAGAAGUAGGUCACCUCAGGUCUCCUCACUACAGACAUCUCAGCCACAUGAAAAGCAAACCCAAGACAUCAUGUGAAGCAGGUCCCACCGGAGCAAAAUUCAUCAGACUCAAUUAACAACAUCUGAAAAGUGUAUCUUGGUUAGUAACUGAUGAGGCAGAGCCUGUGUGGGCUCUGCUCUCGCUGACCCAUCACCCCGUGCCACUCCAAGAAACCAGCUCCUCAGGCAAUAGGUAGCAGCCACCUCAGCUUACUGUUACCGGGAGAGCUAAGCAAACAUUUCAGGGGCUGCCAAACCACCGGCUACUCCCAUCCCAGAGCUUCAGAGUGACACGUGCCCCUUGCUACGGGGCUCCAAAUGCUCUGUGAGUAUCCGGGCAUCCUCCCGGUUUCUGCACUGCGACCUGAGGAGUCCCACGGUGGCCAGCCCGUGACUGCCAAGCCUCUCAUCUUCAGGGUGAUUCCUGUCAGCCAGCCUGCCCCUGGAGUCCUGCGAAUGCCAGGGCAGUUUGGGGUCUGCCUCAUGGGAGCACCUGGCAGUCCUAGAGGGCAGCUUACAGUGUGAUGCCAGUAUCGUGGAAAAGCACAAGUGCUUCCAGCGGGUGAUGCGAACGUCUGAUCUAAAGAACUCCCUAAGUAAGGGACCGAUCCCCAACCCGAGGGGAGUGAGCGCCGGGCCUCCCAUCAACUUCAAAGGGCCUCGGGUCCCGCCCGGCUCACUGGCUUCGGGCAGGGGCCGGCGUCGCCCUCGCAGCUCUGCUGUGGAUCCGUCUGCCACCCCGAGCACGCUCCAUAAAACUCCUCAGUGACUUAAAAGCCUGGAAGAGAAAAGCUCCAAGCAGAAAAUAAAUAAAUGAAAUAAAACAAAACAAUGCUGGCCUCCCAGCCCCCGCACAUGCAAACAUGAGGUUUAAGAUUGGAUCAUGGUUGGGUUUCAUUCCAAGUAUAAAAAUGGGUUUAGAAGACUUCAGUUUAAAUUGCUUCCUGUCUCCCAACAUUCCUAACCACAAAUAUUUUUAAUUGUACGGCACGAAAAUAAAGUUAUUUAAUAAAUUAACGCUUUAAA
Molecule: long non-coding RNA, 2106 nt
Organism: Cygnus atratus (black swan)
Lineage: Eukaryota; Metazoa; Chordata; Aves; Anseriformes; Anatidae
Exons: 8
Source: RefSeq, a predicted model, not a curated record